This 468-nucleotide ribosomal RNA is filed under the name uncultured bacterium. RNAcentral's name for it is "partial 16S ribosomal RNA". It matches the Rfam family "Bacterial small subunit ribosomal RNA", at positions 28 to 507 of the family's 1533-position model. The record is from RNAcentral.
GACGAACGCUGGCGGCGUGCUUAACACAUGCAAGUCGAACGGAAAGGCCCUGCUUUUGUGGGGUGCUCGAGUGGCGAAAGGGUGAGUAACACGUGAGUAACCUGCCCUUGACUUUGGGAUAACUUCAGGAAACUGGGGCUAAUACCGGAUAGGAGCUCCUGCUGCAUGGUGGGGGUUGGAAAGUUUCGGCGGUUGGGGAUGGACUCGCGGCUUAUCAGCUUGUUGGUGGGGUAGUGGCUUACCAAGGCUUUGACGGGUAGCCGGCCUGAGAGGGUGACCGGCCACAUUGGGACUGAGGUACGGCCCAGACUCCUACGGGAGGCAGCAGUGGGGAAUAUUGCACAAUGGGCGGAAGCCUGAUGCAGCAACGCCGCGUGCGGGAUGACGGCCUUCGGGUUGUAAACCGCUUUCGCCUGUGACGAAGCGUGAGUGACGGUAAUGGGUAAAGAAGCACCGGCUAACUACGUG